This 253-nucleotide ribosomal RNA is filed under the name uncultured bacterium. RNAcentral describes it as "partial 16S ribosomal RNA". It matches the Rfam family "Bacterial small subunit ribosomal RNA", at positions 524 to 776 of the family's 1533-position model. The record is from RNAcentral.
UACGAAGGGAGCUAGCGUUGUUCGGAAUCACUGGACGUAAAGCGCACGUAGGCGGAUGUGUCAGUCAGGGGUGAAAUCCCGGAGCUCAACUUCGGAACUGCCUUUGAUACAGCACGUCUUGAGUCCGAUAGAGGUGGGUGGAAUUCCUAGUGUAGAGGUGAAAUUCGUAGAUAUUAGGAAGAACACCGGUGGCGAAGGCGGCCCACUGGAUCGGUACUGACGCUGAGGUGCGAAAGCGUGGGGAGCAAACAGG